GAAAAAAACUCUAUGCUCUCAGGGUAGUGAGAGCAACCGAGGCACGGAGGAGAGCCACAAUGGAUAAACUAACGGGCCACGGGAGGACCGCGCUUUGAUUUAUAAUCCGUCGAGAGAUACCAUCUCGUAUGCCAUCCACGAGAGACAAGUGAAAUAACGGUUAAGGGAUCUCACAACCUCGGAAAUAAACCACCAAUUCGACAUGGAUCGGUUUGAGCAUCGACAGCGCCUUUUAGAAACUGGCUGCCUCCACCUGCUUCGAAGGCGGAUUUUGGAUAAGAAGCGUUUAUCGUUUUCUGUACUGUCCUCUCUUCAUAGGUAAAUCAUCUGAUUUAAUUUCCUCGGUAAAAACCUAUUCUAUAGGCUAGCCAUAUGCUUCUCAUCCUAUACCGGAACCCUUACUGCUGCCUUCCACGCGGGUGCGCCGCCCUCCAUUGGAUGGCAAAAGAACCAGGAAAAAAUUCCUCGCAUUGAAAAGCCAAUACAUCAGUGCCUUUCCGGUUGAUCCAGUGCCCUUGUCACUGCAGUGGCUGCCUGAGAUACACCCACAAACUCUGCAGUGUGAACAGCACAAGCUGUCUACUAUAUGUGACUGCCAGCCAUUCACACCAGGUCUGGAUUGAGCGAGGGAAAAGUGGCACAGUCGUCACAAAAAAAGGAGAAAGCAGGAGGGGAAGAAAAAGGCCAACCCCCUUGUCCCUCUUCCCUUAAAUCUCCAUCACCGGAAGCCUUUGGUGCCAUCUGUGCCCCCGGAGAAAAGGACGGACGACAUGCCUCCACCCUGUGCCAACGGGGACAAAGGAGCUGCCAGUUAGAGCGGCCCCCCUCGCAGGCAGCCAGAGGACUCUGUGUGACUGACUGGGGUUGAGCUACGGAAGCCAUCUUGAUGGAGAGUCUUGCUGCUGCUCCUAAAAUGGCUGUGUUGGCAUGAGGUCCUGCUGGUGUUGACAACCUCCAGAGGAAGCCUCUUCCAUCAGCCCUGAGCCCUGAGCCCUGGGCCCUGAACCCUGAACCCUGAGCCCUGGGCCCUGAACCCUGAGCCCUGAGCCCUGGGCCCUGAGCCCUGGACCCUGAACCCUGAGCCCUGGGCCCUGAACCCUGAGCCCUGAUCCCUGGGCCCUGAGCCCUGGGCCCUGAACCCUGAGCCCUGGACCCUGGGCCCCGAGCCCUGGCAGUCGGUUUAGACGCAUCAGCGGGAAUAGCAUGUCAGAUCCCAGGAUGUCACGCAAGGCCUUCCUCAUUGGCAUCCUCUCCAGUCAAACACUGAGAAAUUAGGGCACUGAAGAAUCCCCCCUAAAGUUAAUGCUUGGAGAGAUUUACUGUAAGGACAAUGUUUGGAGUUAUUUGAAGACAUUGUUUGCAGAAGUUGCACACGGAUCAUCUGCAGAUAUAUUGCACUUGGGUAAUGAAUGUUCUCUUUUCCCUGGCUGAGAGUGUAUAGUUUCAAUAUAACUUUUAACAUUACAGCACAAUGUUAGACAAUGUGUGUAUGAUGUGAAAUCAAAAGGGAUGAGAUCAACAUGUGUUCUUAAUCUAAGUGUGUGUGUGUGGUGCGUGUGCGUGUGCGUGUGUGUGUGUGUGUGUGUGUGUGUGUGUGUGUGUGUGUGUGUGUGUGUGUGUGUGUGUGUGUGUGUGUGUGUGUGUGUGUGUGUGUGUGUGUGUGUGUGUGUGUGUGUGUGUGUGUGUGUGUGUGUGUGUGUGUGUGUGUGUGUGUGUGUGUGUGUGUGUGUGUGUGUAGUUUGGCCCCUAUUGUACUCUUUAGAGUACGCUGGAGUGUACUGGGCUUCAGAGAAGCACUACAGUGCCCUAAUGUGUGGGCUGCUUACAAGAGAAGCUCUCUGGAUGUCUAUCCUCUGUCAUGUGCAAUUAGUUACUUUAUGAAUAGAACUGACUACUCUAUGCAAAUAAAUGUGAAUGACUCACCCUCUGGCUGUAUUGCAAAUGUUGUUUAAUGUUUGACUGUCACAGUGAAAAGAAAGACAUUGUUUGGUGAAGAUUCCAUCCAUUUACUAUAUCCAUCAAAUUCUGCAUUUUUCCAAUUACAAAUAUUAUCUGCAUGUGUUCAUAGUGAUCAGGGAAUGUUCUACAUUAAAUGUGUUGGAUACAGUAUUGAAGCAGUCAGAUUAAUAGCCGUCUCAUUGCCUGAUUGUUAUUAUUAUCCUUAUUCAGAGAGAUAGACAGUUUUGAACAUACCUGCAAUAAAGAAACUUACUUGUACAUACUUGUACACUAAAGUCAUACAAAACAUGUUUUUGUAAUUGAGUUCUGACUUGUCAUAACUUCUGUGCUGUUUGAAUUGAAUGUGUAUACAGAAUAAAUAAUUCAACAGAUG
Molecule: long non-coding RNA, 2332 nt
Organism: Oncorhynchus keta (chum salmon)
Lineage: Eukaryota; Metazoa; Chordata; Actinopteri; Salmoniformes; Salmonidae
Exons: 5
Source: RefSeq, a predicted model, not a curated record